CAGUAGCCACGGUAAUACGUAGGUGGCAAGCGUUGUCCGGAAUUAUUGGGUGUAAAGCGCGCGCAGGCGGAUAGGUCAGUCUGUCUUAAAAGUUCGGGGCUUAACCCCGUGAUGGGAUGGAAACUGCCAAUCUAGAGUAUCGGAGAGGAAAGUGGAAUUCCUAGUGUAGCGGUGAAAUGCGUAGAUAUUAGGAAGAACACCAGUGGCGAAGGCGACUUUCUGGACGAAAACUGACGCUGAGGCGCGAAAGCCAGGGGAGCGAACGGGAUUAGAUACCCCCGUAGUCCCUGUCUCUUAUACC
RNAcentral lists this ribosomal RNA (301 nucleotides) under uncultured bacterium. RNAcentral's name for it is "partial 16S ribosomal RNA". It matches the Rfam family "Bacterial small subunit ribosomal RNA", at positions 509 to 808 of the family's 1533-position model. The record is from RNAcentral.